Molecule: ribosomal RNA, 480 nt
Filed under: uncultured bacterium
Lineage: Bacteria
Description: partial 16S ribosomal RNA
Rfam family: Bacterial small subunit ribosomal RNA
Source: RNAcentral
AAUGAACGUUGGCGGCGUGGAUUAGGCAUGCAAGUCGAGCGCGAACCCCGCAAGGGGUGAAAGCGGCGAAAGGGAGAGUAACGCGUGGGUAUCUGCCCUCGGGACUGGGAUCGCUGCGGGAAACUGCAGGUAAUACCAGAUGACGUCCCCGGACCAAAGGUGUGAUUCCGCCUGAGGAUGAGCCCGCGUCCUAUUAGCUGGUUGGUAGGGGAAUGGCCUACCAAGGCAAUGAUGGGUACUGGGUGUGAGAGCACGACCCAGCGCACUGGGAAUGAGACACUGCCCAGACACCUACGGGUGGCUGCAGUCGAGAAUCUUCGGCAAUGGGCGAAAGCCUGACCGAGCGACGCCGCGUGUGGGAUGAAGGCCUUCGGGUUGUAAACCGCUGUCAGAGGGGAGGAAUGGGCGGAGGGUAAUCUCUUCGUUUUGACCUAUCCUCAGAGGAAGUACGGGCUAAGUUCGUGCCAGCCGCCGCGGUAA